UCUAAGAGAUAUCAAUCGUCGAAUUUUAUCAAAGAGCCGAUGAUCUAUGUACAAUAAUAUAGACUCUGGACGAAAAGGGUGCCACGUGAUUGGCUAGUAAAGCGAUUAUAUGUAAGACAAAAAUAAACCUUGAAUUAGAACGGGGCUAGAGAGAUAGAUUAUUCGUUCGUAUUACGAUAUUAAAUCUGACCAACGUAAAAGUCAAAUCACGUGGACGAAUUUAAAGACGUAAAAAUCUAUGGCACGUAUGGCAUCAGAAAAAAAAAAAAAUUUCACUUCUAACAUUUUUCUUUUAUCCAAUCUCCUACAAAUUUAGGAUCUAUUUGUGGUACGUUAGCAUAAAUCUUUUCUCGACGUUAACGAAUGGAACGGAACGGAACAGAACGGAAACGCACAUGAAGUAAAAUUUGCGAAGGGAUCUACCUUACCGAGGGUCAUGUUUACUUUGGUCAGUAAUCUUUAUAUCAGAACGAGAAAAAGAAGGGGGGAAAUAAACAGAACAUAAAAUUUAACCUUUUGUGCUAACAAUAAGAUCUAUUUUACUUUUGGUAAGUCGCCAAGUGGAAACUUAUUUACAGUGCGUUGAAAAUGCGUGUGCACGCAGGAAAUCGACGAAAUAUAAUAAUAAAUUUCGUACAGCUAGAAAAAAAAAAAAAGAAAAAAAAAAAAAAAAAACAAAUUUCGUGUUCCUAUCAACUACUUAUGUAUUAUCACUGACACUGUAUUCAAUUUUGUUGUCUCUCUCAUCGACGCUUUCUAGGAAUCGUAGAGUAAAAAUAAAAAAUAAAGAAUAAUGGAAUAAUAAAUUUCGUAUCUUGAGGAAAAAAAUAAAAAUAAAAACUUUCGUCGCAUAUACAUAAAUU
Molecule: long non-coding RNA, 863 nt
Organism: Vespa velutina
Lineage: Eukaryota; Metazoa; Arthropoda; Insecta; Hymenoptera; Vespidae
Exons: 3
Source: RefSeq, a predicted model, not a curated record